AAGUCGUAACAAGGUUUCCGUAGGUGAACCUGCGGAAGGAUCAUUACCAAAUCCAAAUUUACCCAACCCCGUGUGAACUAUUGUUUUUAGUUUGUCUUUGGGAAAAAAUAUUUUUUAAAGAAAGCAAUUGUUUUGUUUAACUGAUAUUUUUUCCCAAAAGAAUCCAGCUCGUUUGGAUUCUUAAAACCCUUUAAUAAACCACUUGAAUCAUUGUUGGAAUUUUCUUUUAUAAUUUAUAAAUAAAAGACAACUUUUAACGGCGGAUCUCUUGGCUCGU
RNAcentral lists this unclassified non-coding RNA (277 nucleotides) under fungal sp. RNAcentral describes it as "partial internal transcribed spacer region". The stretch from base 1 to 46 matches the Rfam family "Eukaryotic small subunit ribosomal RNA", at positions 1786 to 1831 of the family's 1831-position model. The record is from RNAcentral. Lineage: Eukaryota; Fungi.